This 253-nucleotide ribosomal RNA is filed under the name uncultured bacterium. RNAcentral describes it as "partial 16S ribosomal RNA". It matches the Rfam family "Bacterial small subunit ribosomal RNA", at positions 524 to 776 of the family's 1533-position model. The record is from RNAcentral.
UACGUAGGGGGCGAGCGUUGUCCGGAAUGACUGGGCGUAAAGGGAGUGUAGGCGGCCUUGUAAGUUAGAUGUGAAAUCCCGCGGCUUAACCGCGGAACUGCAUCUAAAACUGUAGGGCUGGAGUGCAGGAGAGGUGAGUGGAAUUCCUAGUGUAGCGGUGGAAUGCGUAGAUAUUAGGAGGAACACCAGAGGCGAAGGCGACUCACUGGACUGUAACUGACGCUGAGGCUCGAAAGCGUGGGGAGCAAACAGG